GCCUGGGUGGCUUAGUUGGUUAAGCGUCUGACUUCGGCUCAGGGCAUAAGCUCAUGGAUCCUGGGUUCAAGCCCCAUGUCAGGCU
RNAcentral lists this transfer RNA (85 nucleotides) under Felis catus (domestic cat). It matches the Rfam family "tRNA". Rfam says of the family: Transfer RNA (tRNA) molecules are approximately 80 nucleotides in length. Their secondary structure includes four short double-helical elements and three loops (D, anti-codon, and T loops). Lineage: Eukaryota; Metazoa; Chordata; Mammalia; Carnivora; Felidae. RNAcentral also lists the same sequence under 2 other names. The record is from Rfam by way of RNAcentral.